GCUUGCUUCUCUGAUGUUAGCGGCGGACGGGUGAGUAACACGUGGGUAACCUACCUAUAAGACUGGGAUAACUCCGGGAAACCGGGGCUAAUACCGGAUAAUAUUUUGAACCGCAUGGUUCAAUAGUGAAAGACGGUUUCGGCUGUCACUUAUAGAUGGACCCGCGCCGUAUUAGCUAGUUGGUAAGGUAACGGCUUACCAAGGCGACGAUACGUAGCCGACCUGAGAGGGUGAUCGGCCACACUGGAACUGAGACACGGUCCAGACUCCUACGGGAGGCAGCAGUAGGGAAUCUUCCGCAAUGGGCGAAAGCCUGACGGAGCAACGCCGCGUGAGUGAUGAAGGUCUUCGGAUCGUAAAACUCUGUUGUUAGGGAAGAACAAAUUUGUUAGUAACUGAACAAGUCUUGACGGUACCUAACCAGAAAGCCACGGCUAACUACGUGCCAGCAGCCGCGGUAAUACGUAGGUGGCAAGCGUUAUCCGGAAUUAUUGGGCGUAAAGCGCGCGUAGGCGGUUUCUUAAGUCUGAUGUGAAAGCCCACGGCUCAACCGUGGAGGGUCAUUGGAAACUGGGAAACUUGAGUGCAGAAGAGGAGAGUGGAAUUCCAUGUGUAGCGGUGAAAUGCGCAGAGAUAUGGAGGAACACCAGUGGCGAAGGCGGCUCUCUGGUCUGUAACUGACGCUGAUGUGCGAAAGCGUGGGGAUCAAACAGGAUUAGAUACCCUGGUAGUCCACGCCGUAAACGAUGAGUGCUAAGUGUUAGGGGGUUUCCGCCCCUUAGUGCUGCAGCUAACGCAUUAAGCACUCCGCCUGGGGAGUACGACCGCAAGGUUGAAACUCAGAGGAAUUGACGGGGACCCGCACAAGCGGUGGAGCAUGUGGUUUAAUUCGAAGCAACGCGAAGAACCUUACCAAAUCUUGACAUCCUUUGACCGCUCUAGAGAUAGAGUCUUCCCCUUCGGGGGACAAAGUGACAGGUGGUGCAUGGUUGUCGUCAGCUCGUGUCGUGAGAUGUUGGGUUAAGUCCCGCAACGAGCGCAACCCUUAAGCUUAGUUGCCAUCAUUAAGUUGGGCACUCUAGGUUGACUGCCGGUGACAAACCGGAGGAAGGUGGGGAUGACGUCAAAUCAUCAUGCC
Molecule: ribosomal RNA, 1138 nt
Filed under: Mammaliicoccus sciuri
Lineage: Bacteria; Bacillati; Bacillota; Bacilli; Caryophanales; Staphylococcaceae
Description: bacterial SSU rRNA
Rfam family: Bacterial small subunit ribosomal RNA
Source: RNAcentral